CUGGCGGCGUGCCUAACACAUGCAAGUCGAACGGAGUCAGAAAGCUUGCUUUUGACUAGUGGCGGACGGGUGAGUAACGCGUGAGUAACCUGCCUCUGAGAGGGGAAUAACGUUCUGAAAAGAACGCUAAUACCGCAUAAUGUAUCGAAGCCGCAUGACUUUGAUACCAAAGAUUUUAUUGCUCGGAGAUGGACUCGCGUCCGAUUAGUUAGUUGGUGAGGUAACGGCUCACCAAGACCGCGAUCGGUAGCCGGACUGAGAGGUUGAUCGGCCACAUUGGGACUGAGACACGGCCCAGACUCCUACGGGAGGCAGCAGUGGGGGAUAUUGCGCAAUGGGGGCAACCCUGAACCGCAGCAACGCCGCGUGAAGGAUGAAGGUUUUCGGAUUGUAAACUUCUUUUAUCAGGGACGAAGCUUGACGGUACCUGAUGAAUAAGCUCCGGCUAACUACGUGCCAGCCGCCGC
RNAcentral lists this ribosomal RNA (467 nucleotides) under uncultured bacterium. RNAcentral's name for it is "bacterial SSU rRNA". It matches the Rfam family "Bacterial small subunit ribosomal RNA", at positions 36 to 518 of the family's 1533-position model. The record is from RNAcentral.